AAUGGAGAGUUUGAUCCUGGCUCAGGACGAACGCUGGCGGCGUGCCUAAUACAUGCAAGUCGAGCGGAGUUUUAAUUGGUGCUUGCACCGAUUAAAACUUAGUGGCGGACGGGUGAGUAACACGUGGGUAACCUACCCUAUAGACUGGGAUAACUUCGGGAAACCGAGGCUAAUACCGGA
RNAcentral lists this ribosomal RNA (180 nucleotides) under Pseudomonas aeruginosa. RNAcentral's name for it is "partial 16S ribosomal RNA". It matches the Rfam family "Bacterial small subunit ribosomal RNA", at positions 1 to 173 of the family's 1533-position model. The record is from RNAcentral. Lineage: Bacteria; Pseudomonadati; Pseudomonadota; Gammaproteobacteria; Pseudomonadales; Pseudomonadaceae.